GACGAACGCUGGCGGCGUGCUUAACACAUGCAAGUCGAACGAUGAAGCUAGAGCUUGCUCUGGUGGAUUAGUGGCGAACGGGUGAGUAACACGUGAGUAACCUGCCCCGAACUCUGGGAUAACUGCUGGAAACGGUAGCUAAUACCGGAUAUGACCAAUGAAGGCAUCUUCUGUUGGUGGAAAGAAUUUCGGUUCGGGAUGGACUCGCGGCCUAUCAGCUUGUUGGUGAGGUAACGGCUCACCAAGGCGACGACGGGUAGCCGGCCUGAGAGGGUGAUCGGCCACACUGGGACUGAGACACGGCCCAGACUCCUACGGGAGGCAGCAGUGGGGAAUAUUGCACAAUGGGCGGAAGCCUGAUGCAGCAACGCCGCGUGAGGGAUGACGGCCUUCGGGUUGUAAACCUCUUUUAGCAGGGAAGAAGCGAGAGUGACGGUACCUGCAGAAAAAGCACCGGCUAACUACGUGCCAGCAGCCGCAGUAA
This 484-nucleotide ribosomal RNA is filed under the name uncultured bacterium. RNAcentral describes it as "partial 16S ribosomal RNA". It matches the Rfam family "Bacterial small subunit ribosomal RNA", at positions 28 to 523 of the family's 1533-position model. The record is from RNAcentral.